Molecule: ribosomal RNA, 700 nt
Filed under: uncultured bacterium
Lineage: Bacteria
Description: bacterial SSU rRNA
Rfam family: Bacterial small subunit ribosomal RNA
Source: RNAcentral
AGAGUUUGAUCAUGGCUCAGAACGAACGCUGGCGGCAGGCCUAACACAUGCAAGUCGAACGAACCUUUUAGGUGAGUGGCGCACGGGUGCGUAACGCGUGGGAAUGUACACCUUGGUAAGGAAUAACUGCUGGAAACGGUAGCUAAUACCUUAUAAUGACUCCGGUCCAAAGAUUUAUCGCCAAGGGAUCAGCCCGCGUCAGAUUAGCUUGUUGGUGAGGUAAAGGCUCACCAAGGCGACGAUCUGUAGGGGGUCUGAGAGGAUGAUCCCCCACACUGGUACUGAGACACGGACCAGACUCCUACGGGAGGCAGCAGUGAGGAAUAUUGGACAAUGGGGGAAACCCUGAUCCAGCCAUGCCGCGUGUAUGAAGAAGGCCUUAGGGUUGUAAAGUACUUUCAAUGGUGAAGAUAAUGACGGUACCCAGUAAAGAAGCCCCGGCUAACUCCGUGCCAGCAGCCGCGGUAAUACGGAGGGUGCAAGCGUUAAUCGGAAUUACUGGGCGUAAAGCGAGUGUAGGCGGCAACGUAAGUCGGAUGUGAAAUCCCUGGGCUCAACCUAGGAAUUGCAUUCGAUACUGCGUAGCUUGAAUCAGACAGAGGGAUGUGGAAUUCCGGGUGUAGCGGUGAAAUGCGUAGAUAUCCGGAGGAACACCAGUGGCGAAGGCGGCAUCCUGGGUCUAGAUUGACGCUGAGGCUCG